AGCUUAGCACAGUGGCAAGUAUCAUAGCCAAUGAGGUUUAUCUGAGGCACAGUUAUUGCUAAUUGAGAAGAACUAUUGCUUCUACAGUUUAUACUCUUCAAUGAAAUUGAAAGGGAAGCAGUACUCCAAAUUCAUUUCUGGAAGCAAGCAUCACCUUG
Molecule: small nuclear RNA, 158 nt
Organism: Fukomys damarensis (Damara mole-rat)
Lineage: Eukaryota; Metazoa; Chordata; Mammalia; Rodentia; Bathyergidae
Gene: U4
Rfam family: U4 spliceosomal RNA
About the family: U4 small nuclear RNA (U4 snRNA) is a component of the major U2-dependent spliceosome. The structure of U4 snRNA from yeast and human has been reported.
Source: Ensembl